CAAGAAUAUAGAGGGGGUAUAGCAAUAUAUCACCGGCACACGGGUGUUUUCCACGUGAGAAUCAAUCCUUGAGAUGGGGGAUAGCUGGUAGAAAUACCAGGUAAUACCGCAUAUGCCGUAAGGUGAAAGGGGCAAUUGCCCCGUCUUAGGAUGAGCUUGCGGUCCAUUAGCUAGUUGGUAGGGUAAUGGCCUACCAAGGCGACGAUGGAUAGCCGGCCUGAGAGGGUGUACGGCCACAUUGGGACUGAGACACGGCCCAGACUCCUACGGGAGGCAGCAGUGGG
RNAcentral lists this unclassified non-coding RNA (284 nucleotides) under uncultured bacterium. RNAcentral describes it as "partial contains 16S ribosomal RNA and 16S-23S ribosomal RNA intergenic spacer region". It matches the Rfam family "Bacterial small subunit ribosomal RNA", at positions 58 to 358 of the family's 1533-position model. The record is from RNAcentral.